RNAcentral lists this ribosomal RNA (253 nucleotides) under uncultured bacterium. RNAcentral's name for it is "partial 16S ribosomal RNA". It matches the Rfam family "Bacterial small subunit ribosomal RNA", at positions 524 to 776 of the family's 1533-position model. The record is from RNAcentral.
UACGUAGGUGGCAAGCGUUGUCCGGAUUUACUGGGCGUAAAGAGCGCGCAGGCGGUCGUUCAAGUCGCGUGUGAAAGCCCCCGGCUCAACUGGGGAGGGUCACGCGAUACUGAUCGACUCGAAGGCAGGAGAGGGUAGUGGAAUUCCCGGUGUAGUGGUGAAAUGCGUAGAUAUCAGGAGGAACACCGGUGGCGAAGGCGGAUCUCUGGGCCGAUACUGACGCUGAGGAGCGAAAGCGUGGGGAGCGAACAGG